This 1489-nucleotide ribosomal RNA is filed under the name metagenome. Its description in RNAcentral is "bacterial LSU rRNA". It matches the Rfam family "Bacterial large subunit ribosomal RNA", at positions 1458 to 2925 of the family's 2925-position model. The record is from RNAcentral.
UAAGCGAUGGGGUGACGCAGGAAGGUAGUCCAGCCCAGGCGAUGGUUGUCCUGGGGUAAGCAUGUAGGGCGUGUCGUAGGUAAAUCCGCGGCAUCUAAGCCUGAGAUGUGAUGCCGAGCCGAUUGUGGUGAAGUGGAUGAUCCUAUGCUGCCGAGAAAAGCCUCUAGUGAGUGUUGUGGCGGCCCGUACCCUAAACCGACUCAGGUGGUCAGGUAGGGAAUACCAAGGCGAUCGGGUGAACUGUGGUUAAGGAACUCGGCAAAUUGCCCCCGUAACUUCGGGAGAAGGGGGACCUCUGUUGGUGAUGGGCUUUACGCCUGGAGCUGGUGGGGGUCGCAGUGGCCAGGGGGAAGCGACUGUUUACUAAAAACACAGGUCCGUGCGAAGUCGUAAGACGAUGUAUACGGACUGACGCCUGCCCGGUGCCGGAACGUUAAGGGGACCGCUUAGCUGACGUGAGUUGGCGAAGGUGAGAACUUAAGCGCCGGUAAACGGCGGUGGUAACUAUAACCAUCCUAAGGUAGCGAAAUUCCUUGUCGGGUAAGUUCCGACCUGCACGAAUGGCGUAACGACUUCCCCGCUGUCUCAACCGCAGACCCGGCGAAAUUGCACUACGAGUAAAGAUGCUCGUUUCGCGCAGCAGGACGGAAAGACCCCGGGACCUUCACUACAGCUUGACAUUGGCGUUUGGAACGUCUUGUGUAGGAUAGGUGGGAGACUGGGAAGCUGUCACGCUAGUGAUGGUGGAGUCAUUGGUGAAAUACCACUCUGGUCGUUUUGAACGUCUAACUCUGGUCCGUGAUCCGGAUCGGGGACAGUGUCUGGUGGGUAGUUUAACUGGGGCGGUUGCCUCCUAAAGAGUAACGGAGGCGCCCAAAGGUUCCCUCAGCCUGGUUGGCAAUCAGGUGUUGAGUGUAGGUGCACAAGGGAGCUUGACUGUGAGACUGACAGGUCGAGCAGGAGCGAAAGCUGGGACUAGUGAUCCGGCAUCGGCGUGUGGAAGCGGUGUCGCUCAACGGCUAAAAGGUACCCCGGGGAUAACAGGCUGAUCUUCCCCAAGAGUCCAUAUCGACGGGAUGGUUUGGCACCUCGAUGUCGGCUCGUCGCAUCCUGGGGCUGGAGUAAGUCCCAAGGGUUGGGCUGUUCGCCCAUUAAAGCGGUACGCGAGCUGGGUUUAGAACGUCGCGAGACAGUUCGGUCCCUAUCCGCUGCGCGCGCAGGAGACUUGAAGGGGGCUGUCCCUAGUACGAGAGGACCGGGACGGACGAACCUCUGGUGUGCCAGUUGUACCGCCAGGUGCACGGCUGGUUGGCUACGUUCGGAAGGGAUAACCGCUGAAAGCAUCUAAGCGGGGAGCUCGCCUUGAGAUGAGGUCUCCCACCACGAGAGUGGGUAAGGCUCCCGGUAGACGACCGGGUUGAUAGGCCGUAGGUGGAAGCACGGUAACGUGUGGAGCUGACCGGUACUAAUAGGCCGAGGACUUGACCAU